UACGUAGGGUGCGAGCGUUAAUCGGAAUUACUGGGCGUAAAGCGUGCGCAGGCGGUUUUAUAAGCCAGAUGGGAAAGCCCCGGGCUCAACCUGGGAAUGGCAUUUGGGACUGUAAGGCUGGAGUAUGGCAGAGGAGACUAGAAUUCCUGGUGUAGCAGUGAAAUGCGUAGAUAUCAGGAGGAAUACCGAUGGCGAAGGCAGGUCUCUGGGCCAAUACUGACGCUCAUGCACGAAAGCGUGGGGAGCAAACAGG
RNAcentral lists this ribosomal RNA (253 nucleotides) under uncultured bacterium. RNAcentral describes it as "partial 16S ribosomal RNA". It matches the Rfam family "Bacterial small subunit ribosomal RNA", at positions 524 to 776 of the family's 1533-position model. The record is from RNAcentral.